This 484-nucleotide ribosomal RNA is filed under the name uncultured Thermus sp. RNAcentral describes it as "bacterial SSU rRNA". It matches the Rfam family "Bacterial small subunit ribosomal RNA", at positions 901 to 1382 of the family's 1533-position model. Lineage: Bacteria; Thermotogati; Deinococcota; Deinococci; Thermales; Thermaceae. The record is from RNAcentral.
UCAAAGGAAUUGACGGGGCCCGCACAAGCGGUGGAGCAUGUGGUUUAAUUCGAAGCAACGCGAAGAACCUUACCAGGCCUUGACAUGCUAGGGAACCCGGGUGAAAGCCUGGGGUGCCCCCGCGAGGGGAGCCCUAGCACAGGUGCUGCAUGGCCGUCGUCAGCUCGUGCCGUGAGGUGUUGGGUUAAGUCCCGCAAUGAGCGCAACCCCGCCGUUAGUUGCCAGCGGUUCGGCCGGGCACUCUAACGGGACUGCCCGCGAAAGCGGGAGGAAGGAGGGGACGACGUCUGGUCAGCAUGGCCCUUACGGCCUGGGCGACACACGUGCUACAAUGCCCACUACAAAGCGAGGCCACCCGGCAACGGGGAGCUAAUCUCUUAAAGCCAAUCUCAGUUCGGAUUGUAGGCUGCAACUCGCCUACAUGAAGUCGGAAUCGCUAGUAAUCGCGGAUCAGCACGCCGCGGUGAAUACGUUCCCGGGCCUU